GAAGAGACCGCCGCGAGCGCCCCGGGAGCCUCUCCAGGUCCUCCUCCUAACAAGAGGAAUCGCGAGCUCCGCCCGCAGAGGCCAAAGAACACUCAGGUCCAAAAGAAGUCUCGGGUCUCCAAGAAGCCCCAGGUCUCGAAGAAAUCCCGACAGCGGAAGAAUGCUGAGUCCCAGAAGAGCGUGUCUGGGGCCCAGGACCCUUUCCCAGGCCCCGCCCCCGUCCCUGUGGAGUUAGUGCAGAAGUUCCGUCGCAUUGACAAAUCCAAAAAGCUACCCCAUUCUAAGUCCAAAACCCAAAGCAGACUUGAGGUGGCUGAAGACCAAGAAGAGGAAACAAGUGUCAGAAAUGCUCGUUCUGAGCUGUUGCUUGCUGAGGAACCUGGGUG
Long non-coding RNA from Tupaia belangeri chinensis (Chinese tree shrew), 386 nucleotides. RefSeq lists it as uncharacterized. The transcript is spliced from 3 exons. Lineage: Eukaryota; Metazoa; Chordata; Mammalia; Scandentia; Tupaiidae. The record is from RefSeq and is a predicted model, not a curated record.